GCCCCCGUAGCUCAAGGGAUAGAGCGCCAGUCUUCUAAACUGGAUGUUGCACGUUCGAGUCGUGCCGGGGGUG
RNAcentral lists this transfer RNA (73 nucleotides) under Anaerolineae bacterium. RNAcentral's name for it is "tRNA-Arg". It matches the Rfam family "tRNA". Rfam says of the family: Transfer RNA (tRNA) molecules are approximately 80 nucleotides in length. Their secondary structure includes four short double-helical elements and three loops (D, anti-codon, and T loops). Further hydrogen bonds mediate the characteristic L-shaped molecular structure. tRNAs have two regions of fundamental functional importance: the anti-codon, which is responsible for specific mRNA codon recognition, and the 3' end, to which the tRNAs corresponding amino acid is attached (by aminoacyl-tRNA synthetases). tRNAs cope with the degeneracy of the genetic code in two manners: having more than one tRNA (with a specific anti-codon) for a particular amino acid; and 'wobble' base-pairing, i.e. permitting non-standard base-pairing at the 3rd anti-codon position. The record is from RNAcentral. Lineage: Bacteria; Bacillati; Chloroflexota; Anaerolineae. RNAcentral also lists the same sequence under 1 other name.